GCCCGCCUAGCUCAAUCGGAUAGAGCGUCAGACUCUUACAAAGAGAGACGGAGCAACCGGGCAUCUGAAGGCUGCGAGUUCGACCCUCGCGGUGGGCU
Non-coding RNA from Pholiota conissans, 98 nucleotides. The record is from the annotation of a GenBank genome assembly. NCBI's taxonomy places the organism in Eukaryota, Fungi, Basidiomycota, Agaricomycetes, Agaricales, Strophariaceae.